This 203-nucleotide unclassified non-coding RNA is filed under the name Hevea brasiliensis (rubber tree). The record is from RNAcentral. Lineage: Eukaryota; Viridiplantae; Streptophyta; Magnoliopsida; Malpighiales; Euphorbiaceae.
CUGCAGCUAGAUAACAAUAUUAGGGAGCCCAAAGACAUAUAAGGAUCCAAAGGAUAGAAAUUAUUGAAUUAGGCCCUCUACCAUUUGUGACCAUAAACAUCAGUUGCUUAAAACCUUUGACCCUAAUUUCAGUCCACGAAUCUAGUACUGGCAUACAAUGAAUAUGGGUGCUUGAAUUCACUGUAUGCCAGUACUAGAUUCGU